This 52-nucleotide non-coding RNA is filed under the name unclassified sequences. The record is from Rfam.
UUCGUUCAUCUAUCUAGACGGAAGUAAGGCUUUUAGCCUGAAGGAACGCAUU